UUAAGCGACUAAGCGUACACGGUGGAUGCCCUGGCAGUCAGAGGCGAUGAAGGGCGUGCUAAUCUGCGAUAAGCGCCGGUAAGGUGAUAUGAACCGUUAUAACCGGCGAUACCCGAAUGGGGAAACCCAGUGUGACUCGUCACACUAUCAUUAACUGAAUCCAUAGGUUAAUGAGGCGAACCGGGGGAACUGAAACAUCUAAGUACCCCGAGGAAAAGAAAUCAACCGAGAUUCCCCCAGUAGCGGCGAGCGAACGGGGAGGAGCCCAGAGCCUGAAUCAGCAUGUGUGUUAGUGGAAGCGUCUGGAAAGGCGCGCGAUACAGGGUGACAGCCCCGUACACAAAAGCGCAUGUGCUGUGAGCUCGAUGAGUAGGGCGGGACACGUGGUAUCCUGUCUGAAUAUGGGGGGACCAUCCUCCAAGGCUAAAUACUCCUGACUGACCGAUAGUGAACCAGUACCGUGAGGGAAAGGCGAAAAGAACCCCGGCGAGGGGAGUGAAAAAGAACCUGAAACCGUGUACGUACAAGCAGUGGGAGCCCCACCACCAAAGCAUUCUCUGGUGUUGAAGGCCCUGCAAAGCAGCAUCGCGGUGGCGGAGCGUCGUUUGCGACGCCCAACACACAAAACAAGCGGUGAAUGCUUUGGGGUGGGGUGACUGCGUACCUUUUGUAUAAUGGGUCAGCGACUUAUAUUCUGUAGCAAGGUUAACCGAAUAGGGGAGCCGGAGGGAAACCGAGUCUUAAUUGGGCGUUAAGUUGCAGGGUAUAGACCCGAAACCCGGUGAUCUAGCCAUGGGCAGGUUGAAGGUUGGGUAACACUAACUGGAGGACCGAACCGACUAAUGUUGAAAAAUUAGCGGAUGACCUGUGGCUGGGGGUGAAAGGCCAAUCAAACCGGGAGAUAGCUGGUUCUCCCCGAAAGCUAUUUAGGUAGCGCCUCGUGAAUUCAUCUCCGGGGGUAGAGCACUGUUUCGGCUAGGGGGCCAUCCCGGCUUACCAACCCGAUGCAAACUGCGAAUACCGGAGAAUGUUAUCACGGGAGACACACGGCGGGUGCUAACGUCCGUCGUGAAGAGGGAAACAACCCAGACCGCCAGCUAAGGUCCCAAAGUCAUGGUUAAGUGGGAAACGAUGUGGGAAGGCCCAGACAGCCAGGAUGUUGGCUUAGAAGCAGCCAUCAUUUAAAGAAAGCGUAAUAGCUCACUGGUCGAGUCGGCCUGCGCGGAAGAUGUAACGGGGCUAAACCAUGCACCGAAGCUGCGGCAGCGACGCUGAUGCGUUGUUGGGUAGGGGAGCGUUCUGUAAGCCUGUGAAGGUGUGUCGUGAGGCAUGCUGGAGGUAUCAGAAGUGCGAAUGCUGACAUAAGUAACGAUAAAGCGGGUGAAAAGCCCGCUCGCCGGAAGACCAAGGGUUCCUGUCCAACGUUAAUCGGGGCAGGGUGAGUCGACCCCUAAGGCGAGGCCGAAAGGCGUAGUCGAUGGGAAACGGGUUAAUAUUCCCGUACUUGGUGUUACUGCGAAGGGGGGACGGAGAAGGCUAUGUUGGCCGGGCGACGGUUGUCCCGGUUUAAGCGUGUAGGUGUGUGUUCCAGGUAAAUCCGGUUCACUUUAACACUGAGGCGUGACGACGAGGCACUACGGUGCUGAAGCAACAAAUGCCCUGCUUCCAGGAAAAGCCUCUAAGCAUCAGGUAACACGAAAUCGUACCCCAAACCGACACAGGUGGUCAGGUAGAGAAUACCAAGGCGCUUGAGAGAACUCGGGUGAAGGAACUAGGCAAAAUGGUGCCGUAACUUCGGGAGAAGGCACGCUGACACGUAGGUGAAGUGAUUUACUCAUGGAGCUGAAGUCAGUCGAAGAUACCAGCUGGCUGCAACUGUUUAUUAAAAACACAGCACUGUGCAAACACGAAAGUGGACGUAUACGGUGUGACGCCUGCCCGGUGCCGGAAGGUUAAUUGAUGGGGUCAGCGUAAGCGAAGCUCCUGAUCGAAGCCCCGGUAAACGGCGGCCGUAACUAUAACGGUCCUAAGGUAGCGAAAUUCCUUGUCGGGUAAGUUCCGACCUGCACGAAUGGCGUAAUGAUGGCCAGGCUGUCUCCACCCGAGACUCAGUGAAAUUGAACUCGCUGUGAAGAUGCAGUGUACCCGCGGCAAGACGGAAAGACCCCGUGAACCUUUACUAUAGCUUGACACUGAACAUUGAGCCUUGAUGUGUAGGAUAGGUGGGAGGCUUUGAAGUGUGGACGCCAGUCUGCAUGGAGCCGACCUUGAAAUACCACCCUUUAAUGUUUGAUGUUCUAACGUGGACCCGUAAUCCGGGUUGCGGACAGUGUCUGGUGGGUAGUUUGACUGGGGCGGUCUCCUCCUAAAGAGUAACGGAGGAGCACGAAGGUUGGCUAAUCCUGGUCGGACAUCAGGAGGUUAGUGCAAUGGCAUAAGCCAGCUUGACUGCGAGCGUGACGGCGCGAGCAGGUGCGAAAGCAGGUCAUAGUGAUCCGGUGGUUCUGAAUGGAAGGGCCAUCGCUCAACGGAUAAAAGGUACUCCGGGGAUAACAGGCUGAUACCGCCCAAGAGUUCAUAUCGACGGCGGUGUUUGGCACCUCGAUGUCGGCUCAUCACAUCCUGGGGCUGAAGUAGGUCCCAAGGGUAUGGCUGUUCGCCAUUUAAAGUGGUACGCGAGCUGGGUUUAGAACGUCGUGAGACAGUUCGGUCCCUAUCUGCCGUGGGCGCUGGAGAACUGAGGGGGGCUGCUCCUAGUACGAGAGGACCGGAGUGGACGCAUCACUGGUGUUCGGGUUGUCAUGCCAAUGGCACUGCCCGGUAGCUAAAUGCGGAAGAGAUAAGUGCUGAAAGCAUCUAAGCACGAAACUUGCCCCGAGAUGAGUUCUCCCUGAGACUUUAGGUCUCCUGAAGGAACGUUGAAGACGACGACGUUGAUAGGCCGGGUGUGUAAGCGCAGCGAUGCGUUGAGCUAACCGGUACUAAUGAACCGUGAGGCUUAACCUU
This 3006-nucleotide ribosomal RNA is filed under the name Salmonella enterica subsp. enterica serovar Typhimurium. RNAcentral describes it as "bacterial LSU rRNA". It matches the Rfam family "Bacterial large subunit ribosomal RNA". The record is from RNAcentral. Lineage: Bacteria; Pseudomonadati; Pseudomonadota; Gammaproteobacteria; Enterobacterales; Enterobacteriaceae.